AUUGAACGCUGGCGGCAUGCCUUACACAUGCAAGUCGAACGGUAACGGGCCUUCGGGUGCCGCCGAGUGGCGCACGGGUGAGUAAUACAUCGGAACGUGCCCGAUCGUGGGGGCUAACGAGGCGCAAGCUUUGCUAAUACCGCAUACGAUCUACGGAUGAAAGCAGGGGACCGCAAGGCCUUGCGCGGGCGGAGCGGCCGAGGGCAGAUGAGGUGGUUGGGGGGAUAAAAGCUUACCAAGCCGACGAUCUGUAGCCGGGGUGAGAGGAUGAUCGACAGCCUUGGGAUUGAAAAACGGCCCAGCCCCCUACGGGAGGCAGGAGGGGGGAAUUUUGGAAAAGGGGCGCGACGCUGAGCCAGCCAGGCCACGUGAAGGAAGAAGGCCUUCGGGUUGAAAAGUGUUUUUGGACGGAAAAAAAAGCCUUCUUUUAAAACAGGAGGGUCAGACCGGUACCGAAAGGAAAAGCACCGGCUAACUACGU
This 481-nucleotide ribosomal RNA is filed under the name uncultured bacterium. Its description in RNAcentral is "partial 16S ribosomal RNA". It matches the Rfam family "Bacterial small subunit ribosomal RNA", at positions 29 to 506 of the family's 1533-position model. The record is from RNAcentral.